GCUGGGCAUGGUGGCUCAUGCCUGUAAUCCCAGCAUUUUGGGAGGCUGAGGUGGGCGGAUCACCUGAGGUCAGGAGUUUGAGACCAGCCUGGCCAACAUGGUGAAACCCCAUCUCUA
Molecule: unclassified non-coding RNA, 117 nt
Organism: Pongo abelii (Sumatran orangutan)
Lineage: Eukaryota; Metazoa; Chordata; Mammalia; Primates; Hominidae
Rfam family: Metazoan signal recognition particle RNA
About the family: The signal recognition particle (SRP) is a universally conserved ribonucleoprotein. It is involved in the co-translational targeting of proteins to membranes.
Source: Ensembl